This 160-nucleotide ribosomal RNA is filed under the name Acrobleps hygrophilus. RNAcentral describes it as "partial 18S ribosomal RNA". It matches the Rfam family "Eukaryotic small subunit ribosomal RNA", at positions 1650 to 1804 of the family's 1831-position model. The record is from RNAcentral. Lineage: Eukaryota; Metazoa; Arthropoda; Arachnida; Araneae; Mysmenidae.
UCCCUGCGCUUUGUACACACCGCCCGUCGCAACCACCGAUGGAUUUUUUAGUGAGGUCUUCGGACUGGCGCUCGAUUUUGACCUUCGGGUUGAGGCGAUGUGCCGGAAAGAUGACCGAACUUGAGCAUCUAGAGGAUGUUAAAGUCGUAACAAGGCUGCU